This is a non-coding RNA of Acanthosepion pharaonis, 113 nucleotides long. The record is from the annotation of a GenBank genome assembly. Lineage: Eukaryota; Metazoa; Mollusca; Cephalopoda; Sepiida; Sepiidae.
UUAUGGCCACAUCACGUUGAAACACCAGUUUCUGUAUGAUGAAUGAAGCUAAGCAGUGUUGACCCUGGUCAGUACCUAGAUGGGUGACUGCUUGGGAAUACCAGGUGCUGUAA